Gigantopelta aegis is the source of this 811-nucleotide long non-coding RNA. RefSeq lists it as uncharacterized. NCBI's taxonomy places the organism in Eukaryota, Metazoa, Mollusca, Gastropoda, Neomphalida, Peltospiridae. The transcript is spliced from 3 exons. The record is from RefSeq and is a predicted model, not a curated record.
CUCUCUCUCUCUCUCUCUCUCUCUCUCUCUCUCUCUCUCUCUCUCUCUCUCUCCAAUGAACAUGCUCCACUGCACUACGAACGUUUGAUGUCGUCCAAGAUGACGUAUUCGCAAGAAACCCAGCAUCCCAAAUACCAGUCAUGACUGGAAACUGGAGGAAGAGACUGACACUACUUGAAGACAAGAAUCAAUUAGAAAUGGAAACCCUAUUCGUCCCACGAGAAAUGAUGCGAUCACUCACGAAGACGUCUUGUGAAACGGGAAAUACCCCAGUGAGUCCACUCAGUCGGAUCGAUCCUGCGAUACUUCACUCGUGAGGCGGAACAUUCACCACCCAGCCACAUCCCACACGCUUUGUUUGAGAUUUCGAUAUCCAUGUAGAAGAUACUCUUGAAGCGGUCCUACGUCUCUCUUAUCGAACAGCCAGACAGGAAGCACACAGCGAUAGUAUCGACCCGCUAGAUCGAUCUGUCCACAGUUGUAAGUUAUGAGCGAUUAAAGUUUCCAUCAUUUCACUCUUCAUAGGGAAAACAGAUUAAUCUUCUAAUGAUAUAAUGUUCUCAUUCCAAUGGGGAUGUGGUCGUCUGAUGAUUUAGUAUGCUGAUUCAACUGAUAACAUCUUCUAAUGAUUUAAUAUGAUUAAAAUGAUGAUAUUAUCAUCUAAUACUAGAAUAUGUUGAUUAAAAUGAUAUAAUCUUCUAAUGAUGUAAUAUUCCGAUUCAAAUGAUGAUAUGAUCUUCUAAUUAUACAGUAAUUCGAAUUUUUAAAUGAUGAUUUUGGUCUUCAAAUCAUAUGGCAUAUUUGCAUUCAA